This 335-nucleotide unclassified non-coding RNA is filed under the name soil metagenome. RNAcentral describes it as "partial contains 5.8S ribosomal RNA, internal transcribed spacer 2, and large subunit ribosomal RNA". The stretch from base 1 to 120 matches the Rfam family "5.8S ribosomal RNA", at positions 35 to 154 of the family's 154-position model. The record is from RNAcentral.
GAUGAAGAACGCAGUGAAAUGCGAUAAGUAAUGUGAAUUGCAGAAUUCAGUGAAUCAUCGAAUCUUUGAACGCACAUUGCGCCCGCCAGUAUUCUGGCGGGCAUGCCUGUUCGAGCGUCAUUUCAACCAUCAAGCCCCCGGCUUGUGUUGGGGACCUGCGGCUGCCGCAGGCCCUGAAAACCAGUGGCGGGCUCGCUAGUCACUCCGAGCGUAGUAAUACAUCUCGCUCAGGGCGUGCUGCGGGUUCCGGCCGUUAAAAAGCCUUAUUUACCCAAGGUUGACCUCGGAUCAGGUAGGAAGACCAGCUGAACUUAAGCAUAUCAAUAAGCGGAGGA